CCUACGGGUGGCAGCAGUGAGGAAUAUUGGUCAAUGGGCGCGAGCCUGACCCAGCCAAGUAGCGUGAAGGAUGACUGCCCUACGGGUUGUAAACUUCUUUUAUAAAGGAAUAAAGUGAGGCACGUGUGCCUUUUUGAAUGUACUUUAUGAAUAAGGAUCGGCUAACUCCGUGCCAGCAGCCGCGGUAAUACGGAGGAGCCGAGCGUUAUCCGGUUUGAUUGGGUUUAAAGGGAGCGUAGGUGGGUUGUUAAGUCAGUUGUGAAAGUUUGCGGCUCAACCGUAAAAUUGCAAUUGAUACUGGCAGUCUUGAGUACAGUUGAGGUAGGCGGAAUUCGUGGUGUAGCGGUGAAAUGCUUAGAUAUCACGAAGAACCCCGAUUGCGAAGGCAGCUUACUAAACUGUGACUGACAUUGAUGCUCGAAAGUGUGGGUAUCAAACAGGAUUAGAUACCCCAGUAGUC
Molecule: ribosomal RNA, 460 nt
Filed under: uncultured bacterium
Lineage: Bacteria
Description: partial 16S ribosomal RNA
Rfam family: Bacterial small subunit ribosomal RNA
Source: RNAcentral